GCCUGAGUGGCUCAGUCGGUUGAGCGUCCGACUUCGACUCAGGUCAUGAUCUCACGGUUUGUGAGUUCAAGCCCCACAUCGGGCU
Molecule: transfer RNA, 85 nt
Filed under: Felis catus (domestic cat)
Lineage: Eukaryota; Metazoa; Chordata; Mammalia; Carnivora; Felidae
Rfam family: tRNA
About the family: Transfer RNA (tRNA) molecules are approximately 80 nucleotides in length. Their secondary structure includes four short double-helical elements and three loops (D, anti-codon, and T loops). Further hydrogen bonds mediate the characteristic L-shaped molecular structure. tRNAs have two regions of fundamental functional importance: the anti-codon, which is responsible for specific mRNA codon recognition, and the 3' end, to which the tRNAs corresponding amino acid is attached (by aminoacyl-tRNA synthetases). tRNAs cope with the degeneracy of the genetic code in two manners: having more than one tRNA (with a specific anti-codon) for a particular amino acid; and 'wobble' base-pairing, i.e. permitting non-standard base-pairing at the 3rd anti-codon position.
Source: Rfam by way of RNAcentral